Molecule: ribosomal RNA, 253 nt
Filed under: uncultured bacterium
Lineage: Bacteria
Description: partial 16S ribosomal RNA
Rfam family: Bacterial small subunit ribosomal RNA
Source: RNAcentral
UACAGAGGGGGCAAGCGUUGUUCGGAAUUACUGGGCGUAAAGGGCUCGUAGGCGGCCAACUAAGUCGGAUGUGAAAUCCCCAGGCUCAACCUGGGAACUGCAUCCGAUACUGGAUGGCUUGAAUUCGGGAGAGGGAUGCAGAAUUCCAGGUGUAGCGGUGAAAUGCGUAGAUAUCUGGAGGAAUACCGGUGGCGAAGGCGGCAUCCUGGACCGACAUUGACGCUGAUGAGCGAAAGCUAGGGGAGCAAACGGG